This 345-nucleotide transfer-messenger RNA is filed under the name Treponema sp. It matches the Rfam family "transfer-messenger RNA". Rfam says of the family: Bacterial tmRNA, also known as 10Sa RNA or SsrA, is named for its dual tRNA and mRNA-like properties. Its role is to liberate the mRNA from a stalled ribosome. To accomplish this part of the tmRNA is used as a reading frame that ends in a translation stop signal. The record is from RNAcentral. Lineage: Bacteria; Pseudomonadati; Spirochaetota; Spirochaetia; Treponematales; Treponemataceae.
GGGGGUGCACCGGUUUCGACUGGUACGGUUCGGGGUGCAGACUGCAGGUGGAGCGCCGAUCUCCUGAUUCGGCAAAACAUUAACUGCCAAUAACGACAGUUACGAUUACGCCUUAGCUGCGUAACCGCGUGGAACCCUUCCGCCGCCUUGAGGGAGGACUUCCGCGUCGCAAUCAGGGCUGGUCAAUCCCGGUUUCCGGACCGGGUGCGAUAAGAUAAUUCCGGAAUACGGAUGGCCGCGCGCCGCUUAGCCAAGCCAAUCCCGACAAUUCGAUAAGUGGCUAAACCUGUAGAAGCUUGUAUUUCGCGUAUCAGGACGCGGGUUCGAUUCCCGCCACCUCCAAAA